Molecule: ribosomal RNA, 254 nt
Filed under: uncultured bacterium
Lineage: Bacteria
Description: partial 16S ribosomal RNA
Rfam family: Bacterial small subunit ribosomal RNA
Source: RNAcentral
UACGGGGGGAGCAAGCGUUGUUCGGAUUUACUGGGCGUAAAGGGCGCGUAGGCGGCCACCGCAAGUCGACUGUGAAAUCUCCGGGCUUAACCCGGAAAGGCCAGCCGAUACUGCGGGGCUAGAGUGCAGAAGGGGCAACUGGAAUUCUCGGUGUAGCGGUGAAAUGCGUAGAUAUCGAGAGGAACACCUGCGGCGAAGGCGGGUUGCUGGGCUGACACUGACGCUGAUGCGCGAAAGCUAGGGGAGCGAACGGG